RNAcentral lists this ribosomal RNA (2900 nucleotides) under Peptacetobacter hiranonis. Its description in RNAcentral is "[Clostridium] hiranonis 23S ribosomal RNA". It matches the Rfam family "Bacterial large subunit ribosomal RNA". The record is from RNAcentral. Lineage: Bacteria; Bacillati; Bacillota; Clostridia; Peptostreptococcales; Peptostreptococcaceae.
UCAAGUUAUUAAGGGUGCAGGGCGGAUGCCUUGGCACCGGGAGCCGAUGAAGGACGUGAUAAGCUGCGAUAAGCUAUGGGGAGUUGCACGUAAACUUUGAUCCAUAGAUUUCCGAAUGAGGAAACUCACCAUGAGUAAUGUCAUGGUAUCUUCGAGUGAAUACAUAGCUCGUUGAGGGGAACUCGGGGAACUGAAACAUCUAAGUACCCGAAGGAAGAGAAAGAAAUUCGAUUCCGCUAGUAGCGGCGAGCGAACGCGGAACAGCCCAAACCUAAGAAGUUCGCUUCUUAGGGGUUGCGGACAUAUCAUCAGGAAGAGGUUAUUACAGACGAAGAGUUUUGGAAAGCUCCGCCAUAGAAGGUAACAGCCCUGUAGUCGAAGUGAGAAGACUUCCGAUAUGAUCCAGAGUACCACGGGACACGUGAAACCCCGUGGGAAGCAGGAGGGACCACCCUCCAAGGCUAAAUACUACCCGGUGACCGAUAGCGCAUAGUACCGUGAGGGAAAGGUGAAAAGAACCCCGGGAGGGGAGUGAAAUAGAACCUGAAACCCUGUACUUACAAACUGUGGAAGCACAUUUCUUGUGUGACCGCGUACUUUUUGUAGAACGGGCCAACGAGUUACGUUAUGCAGCAAGGUUAAGUACUUCAAGUAUGCAGCCGCAGCGAAAGCGAGUUUUAACUGAGCGUUUAGUUGCAUGACGUAGACCCGAAACCGGGUGACCUAUCCAUGAGCAGGUUGAAGCGAAAGUAAAAUUUCGUGGAGGACCGAACCCACGAGCGUUGAAAAGCUCGGGGAUGACUUGUGGAUAGCGGUGAAAUUCCAAUCGAACCCGGAGAUAGCUGGUUCUCCCCGAAAUAGCUUUAGGGCUAGCCUCAGAUUCAGAGAUACGGAGGUAGAGCACUGAAUGUCCUAGGGGGUAUUGCACCUACCGAAGACUAUCAAACUCCGAAUGCCGUCAUCUUUUAUCUGGGAGUCAGACCGUGGGUGAUAAGAUUCACGGUCGAGAGGGCAACAGCCCAGACCGUCGGCUAAGGUCCCCAAAUGUAGGUUAAGUGGUAAAGGAUGUGGGAUUGCACAGACAACCAGGAUGUUGGCUUAGAAGCAGCCACUCAUUCAAAGAGUGCGUAAUAGCUCACUGGUCGAGUGAUCCUGCGCCGAAGAUUUCCGGGGCUAAAACCUACUACCGAAGCCACGGCAUCAUUUAUGAUGGGUAGGGGAGCUUUCUUUACUGGGCAGAAGCAUGACCGUAAGGACAUGUGGACUGUAAAGAAGUGAGAAUGUUGGCAUGAGUAGCGAGAUGUGGGUGAGAAUCCCACAGGCCGUAAACCCAAGGUUUCCAGGGGAAGGUUCGUCCUCCCUGGGUUAGUCGGGACCUAAGCCGAGGCCGAAAGGCGUAGGUGAUGGACAACAGGUUGAAAUUCCUGUACCGCCAAUAAGCGUUUGAGAAAUGGGAUGACACAGUAGGACAGGAUGAGCGUGCUGUUGGUUAUGCACGUCCAAGCACUGAGGCAGUAUCCGGAGGCAAAUCCACGGAUAUAAUGCUGGGGUGUGACGGGGAGCGAAAUUUAGUAGCGAAGCAUCUGCAUUCACACUGUCGAGAAAAGUCUCUAUCGAGUUUAAAGGCGCCCGUACCGCAAACCGACACAGGUGGGUGAGGAGAGUAUCCUAAGGCCAGCGAGAGAACUGUUGUUAAGGAACUCGGCAAAAUGACCCCGUAACUUAGGGAUAAGGGGUGCCAUCGAAAGAUGGCCGCAGAGAAUAGGCCCAAGCGACUGUUUACCAAAAACAUAGGUUUCUGCUAAGUCGCAAGACGAUGUAUAGGAGCUGACGCCUGCCCGGUGCUGGAAGGUUAAGGGGAUCUGUUAGAGCAAUCGAAGCAGUGAACUUAAGCCCCAGUAAACGGCGGCCGUAACUAUAACGGUCCUAAGGUAGCGAAAUUCCUUGUCGGGUAAGUUCCGACCCGCACGAAAGGCGUAACGAUUUGGGCACUGUCUCAACAACAGACUCGGUGAAAUUGUAAUUCCGGUGAAGAUGCCGGAUACCUGCGACAGGACGGAAAGACCCCAUGGAGCUUUACUGUAGCUUGGCAUUGGGUCUUGGUACUACAUGUACAGCAUAGGUGGGAGGCUUUGAUUCCAGGACGCCAGUUUUGGAUGAGCCACCGUUGGGAUACCACCCCUGUAGUACUGGGACUCUAACCAGAGGCCUUGAAUCAGGUCUUGGGACACUGUCAGGCGGGCAGUUUGACUGGGGCGGUCGCCUCCCAAAAGGUAACGGAGGCGCUCAAAGGUUCUCUCAGCACGGUCGGAAAUCGUGCACAGAGUGUAAAGGCAUAAGAGAGCUUGAUUGCAAGACAUACAGGUCGAGCAAGGACGAAAGUCGGACUUAGUGAUCCGGUGGUUCUGAGUGGAAGGGCCAUCGCUCAACGGAUAAAAGCUACCCUGGGGAUAACAGGCUUAUCUCCCCCAAGAGUCCACAUCGACGGGGAGGUUUGGCACCUCGAUGUCGGCUCAUCACAUCCUGGGGCUGUAGUAGGUCCCAAGGGUUGGGCUGUUCGCCCAUUAAAGUGGUACGCGAGCUGGGUUCAGAACGUCGUGAGACAGUUCGGUCCCUAUCCGUCGCAGGCGUAGGAAAUUUGAGAGGAUCUGCCCUUAGUACGAGAGGACCGGGGUGGACGUACCGCUGGUGUACCAGUUGUCUCGCCAGAGGCAUGGCUGGGUAGCUAUGUACGGAACGGAUAAGCGCUGAAAGCAUCUAAGCGCGAAGCCAGCCUUAAGAUAAGAUUUCCCAUUCUUCGGAAGUAAGACCCCAUGAAGACUACGUGGUUGAUAGGUCGGAGGUGGAAGUGCAGUAAUGUAUGUAGCUUACCGAUACUAAUAGGUCGAGGACUUGACCAA